Molecule: non-coding RNA, 496 nt
Organism: Pelobates cultripes (western spadefoot toad)
Lineage: Eukaryota; Metazoa; Chordata; Amphibia; Anura; Pelobatidae
Source: the annotation of a GenBank genome assembly
GGAACACUAUAGUCACCUAAAUUACUUUAGCUAAAUAAAGCAGUUUUGGUGUAUAGAUCAUUCCCCUGCAAUUUCACUGCUCAAUUCACUGUCAUUUAGGAGUUAAAUCACUUUGUUUCUGUUUAUGCAGCCCUAGCCACACCUCCCCUGGCUAUGAUUGACAGAGCCUGCAUGAAAAAAAAACUGGUUUCACUUUCAAACAGAUGAAAUUUACCUUAAAUAAUUGUAUCUCAAUCUCUAAAUUGAACUUUAAUCACAUACAGGAGGCUCUUGCAGGGUCUAGCAAGCUAUUAACAUAGGAGGGGAUAAGAAAAUCUUAAUUAAACAGAACUUGCAAUAAAGAAAGUCUAAAUAGGGCUCUCUUUACAGGAAGUGUUUAUGGAAGGCUGUGCAAGUCACAUGCAGGGAGGUGUGGCUAGGGUUCAUAAACAAAGGGAUUUAACUCCUAAAUGGCAGAGGAUUGAGCAGUGAGGCUGCAGGGGCAUGUUCUAUACAC